AUCUAAUCCCGUUUGCUCCCCUGGGCUUUCGCGCCUCAGCGUCAGUAGAGAUCCAGUGCGUCGCUUUCGCCUCCGGCGUUCCUUCCAAUAUCAACGCAUUUCACCGCUCCACUGGAAGUUCCACACACCCCUAUCUCCCUCCAGACCAUCAGUAUCGAAGGCACUUCUACAGUUAAGCUGCAGGAUUUCACCCCCGACUUGAUGGACCGCCUACGCGCCCUUUAAGCCCAGUGAUUCCGAACAACGUUAGGACAGUUCGUCUUACCGCGGCUGCUGGCACGAACUUAGCCCGUCCUUACUGAGGGUCGAUCAAGUUUCCCUUUCUUCCCUCUUUCGCGCUUUACAACCCGAAGGCCUUCAUCGCGCACGCGGCGUCGCUCGUUCAGGCUUGCGCCCAUUGACGAAGAUCCUCGACUGCAGCCACCCGUAGGUGUCUGGCCAGUGUCUCAGUGCCAGUGGCGCGGGUCGUGCUCUCACACCCGCUAGCCAUCUUAGCCUUGGUAGGCCGUUACCCCACCAACUAGCUAAUAGCACAUGGGCCCCUCUCGAGGCGAAAUUCAUUUCCCGGUAGAAGGAUGCCCUCCCGCCGAAUCUCUGGGUAUUACCCGCUCGUUAGAACGGCUAUCCCCAUCCCCAAGGUAGGUUACCCAUGCAUUACUGCCCCUUUCGCCACUUCCGCCAGCUCUGUAUUGCUACAAAACUGACAUUCGUUCGACUUGCAUGCCUAAUCCACGCCGCCAACGUUCGUUCUGAGCCAGGAUCAAACUCU
Molecule: ribosomal RNA, 769 nt
Filed under: uncultured Planctomycetota bacterium
Lineage: Bacteria; Pseudomonadati; Planctomycetota
Description: uncultured planctomycete partial 16S ribosomal RNA
Source: RNAcentral